This 65-nucleotide transfer RNA is filed under the name Tropidothorax sinensis. RNAcentral describes it as "tRNA-Leu". The record is from RNAcentral. Lineage: Eukaryota; Metazoa; Arthropoda; Insecta; Hemiptera; Lygaeidae.
GCUAUUUUGGCAGAGAAGUGCAGUAAAUUUAGAAUUUAUAAAUAUAGUUCAUACUAUAAAUAGUA